This 292-nucleotide ribosomal RNA is filed under the name uncultured bacterium. RNAcentral describes it as "partial 16S ribosomal RNA". It matches the Rfam family "Bacterial small subunit ribosomal RNA", at positions 505 to 796 of the family's 1533-position model. The record is from RNAcentral.
GUGUCAGCCGCCGCGGUAAUACAGAGGUCCCGAGCGUUGUUCGGAUUCAUUGGGCGUAAAGGGUGCGUAGGAGGCGCGGUAAGUCGGGUGUGAAAUCUCGGAGCUUAACUCCGAAACUGCAUUCGAUACUGCCGUGCUUGAGGAAUAGAGAGGAGACUGGAAUUUACGGUGUAGCGGUGAAAUGCGUAGAUAUCGUAAGGAAGACCAGUGGCGAAGGCGGGUCUCUGGACAGUUCCUGACGCUGAGGCACGAAGGCCAGGGGAGCAAACGGGAUUAGAAACCCCUGUAGUCC